GGGCUCACACAAGCGGUGGAGCAUGUUGCUUAAUUCGAGGCAACGCGAAGAACCUUACCUGGGUUUGACAUGCACGGAUUAACUUUGUGAAAGCAGAGCCACACCCGCAAGGGUGGAACGUGCACAGGUGCUGCAUGGCUGUCGUCAGCUCGUGCUGUGAAGUGUCGGGUUAAGUCCCUUAACGAGCGCAACCCCUAUCGUUAGUUGCCUGGCGCAAGCCGGUACUCUAGCGAGACUGCCGGUGUCAAACCGGAGGAAGGUGGGGAUGACGUCAAGUCCUCAUGGCCCUUACAUCCAGGGUUGCAAACGUGCUACAAUGGCGCGCACAAAGCGACGCGAGGCCGCGAGGCGGAGCAAAUCGCAAAAAACGCGCCCCAGUUCGGAUUGCAGGCUGCAACUCGCCUGCAUGAAGUCGGAAUCGCUAGUAAUCGGAGAUCAGCUACGCUCCGGUGAAUGUGUUCCUGAGCCUU
This 470-nucleotide ribosomal RNA is filed under the name uncultured bacterium. RNAcentral describes it as "bacterial SSU rRNA". It matches the Rfam family "Bacterial small subunit ribosomal RNA", at positions 917 to 1382 of the family's 1533-position model. The record is from RNAcentral.